Molecule: long non-coding RNA, 740 nt
Filed under: Vigna radiata
Lineage: Eukaryota; Viridiplantae; Streptophyta; Magnoliopsida; Fabales; Fabaceae
Description: long non-coding RNA (VRAD_LNC001642)
Source: RNAcentral
GAAUGUUGCACUAUGUUACCCAAAGAGUGGAUCAAAAUUGCACUAAAACACAACACAAAAAAGGCCAAUUUUAAUCAGUUGAACGACAAGAUAAUCGAUAAAAAACUAAAAAAAGUUUAAACGGUAAGCAUAAGAAAAACCACGCACCUGGGAUGAAGAGAGAAAAAGGAGAGGACGAAGACAAUGACGUUAUGAGAAAAUACAAUGCAAUUCCGGAAGAGAUAAAAAGAAGAGGUGCACAAGGGAGUAAAAGAAGAGGAGAAGCAGAGAAAAAGGAGAAGAAAUGAAGACGCGAUCAGAAACUGAGUGGUUAGAAGGGUCUGCGGUUUAUUUAAAAUGAAAUUGGGCGUCGGUUGCGCCAGAAACCGACGUCUAUAGAUGUCAGUGUUUGAUCGGGAUCCGACGUCUAUUCUUCUUAAAGAAGCUGAAAAGAUUGACGCUUGAUUUCCUGUCAGGGUAGUUCACGUCGCUGCCCCUCCUAGCCGACGUCUAAAACCCUCGAAUUUGGUGAAAAUAAUCAAUUACAGGAACGUAGACGUCGCUUACGUUCAGAACCGACGUCUAAAUUGAAGGAUUUUUGUCUUCCCGCCUUCCAGAUAGGCCUUAGACGUCGUCGUUUGACUACGUGACGUCUAAGCGCCUGGGAAUUUGGUGAACAACAUUAAUUGUAGCCUAAUCGACGUCGCUUGUUCAGGGGAUCCGACGUCUAUUCCACGUCUAUAGUUGAACCGUUUGAUAUU